GCCAUGCCGCGUGGAGUGAAGAAGGCCUUCGGGUUGUAAAGCCCUUUUGUUGGGAAAGAAAAGCAGUCGAUUAAUACUCGGUUGUUCUGACGGUACCCAAAGAAUAAGCACCGGCUAACUUCGUGCCAGCAGCCGCGGUAAUACGAAGGGUGCAAGCGUUACUCGGAAUUACUGGGCGUAAAGCGUGCGUAGGUGGUUGUUUAAGUCUGUUGUGAAAGCCCUGGGCUCAACCUGGGAAUUGCAGUGGAUACUGGGCGACUAGAGUGUGGUAAAGGGUAGUGGAAUUCCCGGUGUAGCAAUGAAAUGCGUAAAGAUCGGUAGGAACAUCCUUGGCGAAGGCAACUACCUGGACCAACACUGACACUGAGGCACAAAAGCCUGGGGAGCAAACAGGAUUAAAUACCCUGGUAGUCCACGCCCUAAACGAUGCGAACUGGAUGUUGGGUGCAAUUUGGCACGCACUAUCGAAGCUAACGCGUUAAGUUCGCCGCCUGGGGAGUACGGUCGCAAGACUGAAACUCAGAGGAAUUGACGGGGGCCCGCACAAGCGGUGGAGUAUGUGGUUUAAUUCCAUGCAACGCGGAGAACCUUACCUGGUCUUGACGUGUCGAGAACU
Molecule: ribosomal RNA, 616 nt
Filed under: Stenotrophomonas sp. Ri2Pt_4164
Lineage: Bacteria; Pseudomonadati; Pseudomonadota; Gammaproteobacteria; Lysobacterales; Lysobacteraceae
Description: bacterial SSU rRNA
Rfam family: Bacterial small subunit ribosomal RNA
Source: RNAcentral